RNAcentral lists this ribosomal RNA (833 nucleotides) under uncultured bacterium. RNAcentral's name for it is "bacterial SSU rRNA". It matches the Rfam family "Bacterial small subunit ribosomal RNA", at positions 8 to 808 of the family's 1533-position model. The record is from RNAcentral.
AGAGUUUGAUCCUGGCUCAGGAUGAACGCUGGCGGCGUGCCUAAUACAUGCAAGUCGAACGAAACUUCUUUAUCACCGAGUGCUUGCACUCACCGAUAAAGAGUUGAGUGGCGAACGGGUGAGUAACACGUGGGCAACCUGCCCAAAAGAGGGGGAUAACACUUGGAAAUAGGUGCUAAUACCGCAUAACCAUAGUUACCGCAUGGUAACUAUGUAAAAGGUGGCUAUGCUACCGCUUUUGGAUGGGCCCGCGGCGCAUUAGCUAGUUGGUGAGGUAAAGGCUUACCAAGGCAAUGAUGCGUAGCCGAACUGAGAGGUUGAUCGGCCACAUUGGGACUGAGACACGGCCCAAACUCCUGCGGGAGGCAGCAGUAGGGAAUCUUCCACAAUGGGCGAAAGCCUGAUGGAGCAACGCCGCGUGGGUGAAGAAGGUCUUCGGAUCGUAAAACCCUGUUGUUAGAGAAGAAAGUGCGUGAGAGUAACUGUUCACGUUUCGACGGUAUCUAACCAGAAAGCCACGGCUAACUACGUGCCAGCAGCCGCGGUAAUACGUAGGUGGCAAGCGUUAUCCGGAUUUAUUGGGCGUAAAGAGAGUGCAGGCGGUUUACUAAGUCUGAUGUGAAAGCCUUCGGCUUAACCGGAGAAGGGCAUCGGAAACUGGCUAACUUGAGUGCAGAAGAGGGUAGUGGAACUCCAUGUGUAGCGGUGGAAUGCGUAGAUAUAUGGAAGAACACCAGUGGCGAAGGCGGCUACCUGGUCUGUAACUGACGCUGAGACUCGAAAGCAUGGGUAGCGAACAGGAUUAGAUACCCUGGUAGUCCAUGCCGUAAACG